RNAcentral lists this ribosomal RNA (460 nucleotides) under uncultured Actinomyces sp. RNAcentral's name for it is "bacterial SSU rRNA". It matches the Rfam family "Bacterial small subunit ribosomal RNA", at positions 338 to 795 of the family's 1533-position model. The record is from RNAcentral. Lineage: Bacteria; Bacillati; Actinomycetota; Actinomycetes; Actinomycetales; Actinomycetaceae.
CCUACGGGAGGCAGCAGUGGGGAAUAUUGCACAAUGGGCGCAAGCCUGAUGCAGCGACGCCGCGUGAGGGAUGGAGGCCUUCGGGUUGUAAACCUCUUUCGCCAGUGAAGCAGGCCUGCUCCUUGUGGGUGGGUUGACGGUAGCUGGAUAAGAAGCGCCGGCUAACUACGUGCCAGCAGCCGCGGUAAUACGUAGGGCGCGGGCGUUGUCCGGAAUUAUUGGGCGUAAAGAGCUCGUAGGCGGCUGGUCGCGUCUGUCGUGAAAUCCUCUGGCUUAACUGGGGGCUUGCGGUGGGUACGGGCCGGCUUGAGUGCGGUAGGGGAGACUGGAACUCCUGGUGUAGCGGUGGAAUGCGCAGAUAUCAGGAAGAACACCGGUGGCGAAGGCGGGUCUCUGGGCCGUUACUGACGCUGAGGAGCGAAAGCGUGGGGAGCGAACAGGAUUAGAUACCCUAGUAGUC